CCUACGGGAGGCAGCAGUAGGGAAUCUUCCGCAAUGGACGAAAGUCUGACGGAGCAACGCCGCGUGAACGAUGAAGGCCUUCGGGUCGUAAAGUUCUGUUGUUAGGGAAGAACAAGUGCUAGUUGAAUAAGCUGGCACCUUGACGGUACCUAACCAGAAAGCCACGGCUAACUACGUGCCAGCAGCCGCGGUAAUACGUAGGUGGCAAGCGUUGUCCGGAAUUAUUGGGCGUAAAGCGCGCGCAGGCGGUUUCUUAAGUCUGAUGUGAAAGCCCCCGGCUCAACCGGGGAGGGUCAUUGGAAACUGGGAAACUUGAGUGCAGAAGAGGAAAGUGGAAUUCCAAGUGUAGCGGUGAAAUGCGUAGAGAUUUGGAGGAACACCAGUGGCGAAGGCGACUUUCUGGUCUGUAACUGACGCUGAGGCGCGAAAGCGUGGGGAGCAAACAGGAUUAGAUACCCUGGUAGUCCACGCUGUAAACGAUGAGUGCUAAGUGUUAGAGGGUUUCCGCCCUUUAGUGCUGAAGUUAACGCAUUAAGCACUCCGCCUGGGGAGUACGGUCGCAAGACUGAAACUCAAAAGGAUUGACGG
Molecule: ribosomal RNA, 588 nt
Filed under: uncultured bacterium
Lineage: Bacteria
Description: bacterial SSU rRNA
Rfam family: Bacterial small subunit ribosomal RNA
Source: RNAcentral